RNAcentral lists this long non-coding RNA (868 nucleotides) under Cricetulus griseus (Chinese hamster). RNAcentral's name for it is "lncRNA (ENSCGRG00015030640.1)". Lineage: Eukaryota; Metazoa; Chordata; Mammalia; Rodentia; Cricetidae. The record is from RNAcentral.
UCUGCUACUUCCUAUCUUACUCAAAUUUAACUGACUGGGCUUCUCAAAUCAUUCUAAUGUGUGGCAAGGGUUGGGACUGAGAAUACAGAAUUUGAGGAGACAGAGAAUCCAAUGGACUUUUGUGGGUAAUGUAUCAUGACUUUAAAAUGUCUUAUGGUACCAUUCUUAUCUUUUGUUUUGUUCUGUUUGCUUGGGGCAGCAUCUGACAGGGUCACCUAGGCUGUCUGCAGCUCCUUGCAGUUCUUAUGCCUCUACCCAAGUACUGGAAUUACAGACAGGGUUUCUCUGUGUACCCUGGAACACACACUGUAUAGCAGGCUGGCCUCCAGCUCACUGAGAUCUGCCUGAAUCUACCUCCAUCAGGUUGGGAUUAAAGCUCCUGACAUCUAUCAGUAUCUGACACAUUUUGAAGUGAAGUUUGUCCUUUGUGUGUACCUUGGAGUAUGGGAGUGUUGGGAUGAAUUAAACUGGAGAAGCAAAUGUCUUUAUAGGUAUAACACAUCAUAGCCAUUAGAGAUGAAGAUGGAAGCUUAAUAAUAUGCUGGUUUAUCUACAUAUGUAAAUGAGUUUAAUUCUCAAUGGUUCCUUCACAGAGUUGAAGAAAUGCUGCUUUAACUGUAGCAUUAGAGAUUAAACCGUCUGUUGAGUCCCUUGGGUUUGCACUUGGUGUGUUAGGCUUUCCCAUCAUGCUAUGGUUAAUAUUUUAAUUAGCUCCCUCUGUUUUCAUGGAGCAUAGUGUCAUGAUGACCCCUAACCAAUCUUCUCCUUCUAGGACAGGACCCCUAUGGGAAGGCAACAAACUGACUUCAAUCUCUAGUUCUGAGUUUCCACCCUGAAGAAAACCUUACAGUUUUCUACUAGUAAGGGG